This 76-nucleotide transfer RNA is filed under the name Salmonella enterica subsp. enterica serovar Typhi str. CT18. Its description in RNAcentral is "tRNA-Thr". It matches the Rfam family "tRNA". From Rfam's summary of the family: Transfer RNA (tRNA) molecules are approximately 80 nucleotides in length. Lineage: Bacteria; Pseudomonadati; Pseudomonadota; Gammaproteobacteria; Enterobacterales; Enterobacteriaceae. The record is from RNAcentral.
GCCGACUUAGCUCAGUAGGUAGAGCAACUGGCUUGUAAUCAUCAGGUCACCAGUGCGAUUCCGGUAGUCGGCACCA